CUCCUGCCUCAGCCUCCCGGGUAGCUGGGACUACAGGCGCCCGCGACCACGCCCGGCUAAUUUUUUUUUGUAUUUUUUUUUAGUAGAGACCGGGUUUCGCCGUGUUAGCCAGGAUGGUCUCGAUCUCCUGACCUCGUGAUCCACCCGCCUUGGCCUCCCAAAGUGCUGGGAUUACAGGCGUGAGUAACCGCACCCGGCAGUAGUACCUACUUUUUAAAGUGUAAGCAAGGAAAGUUGGCCCGCACCUGUAGUCCCAUCUACCUGGGAGGCUGAGGUGGAAGAAUUGCUUGAGCCCAGUUGGUCGAGGCUGCAAUGAGCCUUGAUCACGCCACUGCACUCCAGCCUGGGCAACAGAACAAGACCCUGUCUCAAACAAAAAAGUGUAUGUAAGAAUAAAAAUUAAUAGAUUAGGCACAGGAUGGGUGUUUAAUUCUCGGCAAUCACCACUAAGUUUUCAUACUGAGGCUUAUUCAUUCCAUGGGCAAAACAUUGCGCUAUGUGUGGUGCCUGGGGUGGGCUCCAAAUUCCAGUCCUCUCCUCGCUUGCGAUAGCUGUGUGAUCCAUUCCUAAGUUUCCUUAUUUGUCCACAGAGCGUACACAGGGUUUUUAUGAAAACUAGAUCAGAUAAUCAGACACAGUUAAAAUAGCACGCGCUCAGUAAAAUUACAUAUUAGUGGAAGAGACAAGCCUUGAAUAAAUCGCCUUUCGGGGAGUAUGACCCCCUCCCCGAAACCCACUCAGGCGCUGCUCGCUCGCACGCCCACUGAGCUCGGAGCGGAGCCCGAGCCCUUUCCCAGCACACAGGGUUCAUUUCCAGACUGAAAGACAUCCCAGAGACAACUCCAGAGGCCAAGGCGGGUCGGCUUCCUGCGUGGGCCCAGCGCCGGGCACUGAAAGGUGAAGGCGCUUCUUCCGCUCGGAGGAAAGCCUCUGGCGGUUCUCGCUUCGCGGGCUCGGGAUGGACACGCGCGUAGGGCUGGGGAGGUGACGCGCGGACAACGCCGGGGCGAGCAAACUACAACUCCCAGGCAGCUGUGCGCCACGCGGGCGGCCUACUGUCGGGUGUGGCCGCGAGGGGCGGCCUAUAUAAGCUCUUGCUCGCGGCUUCAGCGCCCUUUCUCCCCGCCGCAUUCCCGGUGUCGACUUACUAGCUGCAAGCCUCUGCCUGCCUUCCUGCGCGCCGUUCCCCGCUAGUCGCUGCUGCUGGCGCGCACUCGCCGGGUUUUUCCUCCCACGGCCUCGAGAUGGUGGUGAAUGUGGCACGGAGGAGCCGGGCCUUCCAACCCGGUGGGCCCGAGCUCCGAAAGGCCCCCUCGGCAGUGAGAGGGGCGGGAGCCCGCGGGGGCCGCGCCCUUCUCUCGCUUCGGACUGCGCAACGCUGCGCUCUGGGCUGACAGGCGGAUAAAACGGUCCCAUCAAGACUGAGAAAAAGCACACCAGCUAUUGGCACAGCGUGGGCAGUGGGGCCUACAGGAUGACUGACUUAGUCUACAGAGAUCCCGGCGUACUUAAGCAGAUGAAGACUCUUAAGAUGACAGAAGGUGAUUUUUCUGGUGAUCGAGGACUUCCGGGGUAAUGACAGUGAUGAAAUGCAGGGGACCUGGUUGCCCCCAAGUUUCCUGGCAGUGUGUGAUACUGAGGAGGUGAGCUUGUUUCUGGAGCUGUGCUUUAAGAUUCAUGUUACAUGUAAAGCUGUCCUCAUUUGUGACUAUGGACCUAUGGAGUUGGGACAAUCUCUAUGGGAAGCAGAAGGCAAGGACCCCGGUCAUUUUAGGUAGAAACAACAGCAUGCUAAUGCAAAAAAUUAUGCAGUGUGCUACUGAACUUCAGAGGUGAUCAAUAAAAGAAGAAUAAAAAGACUAAUAAAAGUA
This is a long non-coding RNA of Homo sapiens (human), 1871 nucleotides long. Ensembl annotates it as small nucleolar RNA host gene 12. Its record names the gene SNHG12. NCBI's taxonomy places the organism in Eukaryota, Metazoa, Chordata, Mammalia, Primates, Hominidae. The record is from Ensembl.